UAGAAUAUAAAUUGAAGGUAGGUUCUGCCCUAUGAUUUAAUUUAAAUGGCUGCAGUAUAUUGACUGUGCAAAGGUAGCAUAAUAAUUAGUCUUUUAAUUGGAGGCUUGUAUGAAUGAAUAAAUGAGGAAUUUAUUUUAUUAUUUUUAUUAUUUGAAUUUAAUUUUUAAGUAAAAAAGCUUAAUUUAUUUUUUGGGACGAGAAGACCCUAUAGAAUUUUAAUUUUUUAUUUUAAUUGAUUUUUAGUUUAGUAUAAUUUUUUUAAUGAUAUUUUAUUUUUAUUGGGGUGAUAGAUAAAUUUGACUUUAUUUUUUAAAUACAUUUAUUAAUGUAAUUUUGAUCCAUAUUAAUGAUUACAAGAUAUAAUUACCUUAGGGAUAACAGCGUAAUUUUUAUGGGGAGUUCAUAUUUAUAUAAAAGUUUGCGACCUCGAUGUUGAAUUAAGAUAAAUUUAUGGAGCAG
RNAcentral lists this ribosomal RNA (460 nucleotides) under Procandea sp. n. DMT-2018. RNAcentral's name for it is "partial large subunit ribosomal RNA". The record is from RNAcentral. Lineage: Eukaryota; Metazoa; Arthropoda; Insecta; Hemiptera; Cicadellidae.